Molecule: long non-coding RNA, 2873 nt
Filed under: Lynx pardinus (Iberian lynx)
Lineage: Eukaryota; Metazoa; Chordata; Mammalia; Carnivora; Felidae
Source: RNAcentral
GAAGGCUUCCAGGAGGAGGUAGGACUUGAGCCAGCGUUAAAGGGCAGGGUUUAGACUUGGGGGAGGAGAGACCCUGUUCCCCAUCAGUUGCUCUUGUCUCUUCCUAGGAUUACCAUUAACAAGGACACCAAGGUGCCCAAUGCCUGUUUGUUCACCAUCAACAAAGAAGACCACACGCUAGGAAACAUCAUUAAAUCGUAAGUUCCAAGGCAAAGGCUCUUGGGCAGUGUUUAGGGGGCUCUCUGAGGCAGAGCAGAAAUUCCAGAUUUCCUGGUCUUUCUGAGCUACUGGAAGAUCUGGGUGCUUGUUCUGGCAGCUCACAUGUAAACGUGCAUUUUCUGCAGGACACUGACCCGUGUCGGUUCACGUAGCCAUGUUUCUGUGUUGGCUCAUCUAGCUGAGGAAAGGAAGCGAACGCGCAGUGAGCCAGAGGAGAGCAGACCUACUUGUGUUUUGGGGCUGGGCACGGAGCAGCAGUCAGGAUUAGUGGCCCCCCACCCCGGCCACCCCGGUUUGUCACGGUGACCUCAGUAACACCUGGCAUGCAAAGAUAACACGUGCCAGAGACUGUAACGUACAGAGUAAAGGAAAGAGGUGGGAGAGAGGCUGUGGUGACCUGGCGCCCCUGUGGACAGAGCGCGGAUAUUGGUUGGUGGGUGUUUGUUUACGCCGGUGAGAUCCCGGCCAGAUGCGAUUGCUGUUCCGGCCCAAGGAUUUGUUUCACUGAUGAAAAGCACUAUCGGUGAGGCCGGGUCUUUCCAAGGUUUGAGGUCGUGGGCAGGAGCCUGCCCGGUCUCCCGGCUGAAAGGAGGAGGUGGACUUGGCCGCCUGUCUUCUCUCUGGCCGAGUCCUGCCCUGAGCCGGGUGGUGGUGCUCAGGCCCUCCUGGGGCCUCGCCGCUCCCAUGCAAGGCGAGGCACGUCCCCCGGGCUUCAGUUCACUUCGCCACAGCCUUGCAGAACGGGGCCCUCUGUGUGUGGGCAGCAGCUGCCAGCCCGUGUUGCCCAGAGGACUUCGAUUUCUCCCCCUGCUGCCUUUACUGCUCUCAUCGGGCUGGAAGCCGGGCUUCGUAUUUUGUGUUCUGGUUUACUGAAUCCUGGCUGCCUAGGGAGGGCUCUUUUGACUUCCCCUGAGGGAAGUUUUCUGGAAAUCCUGCUUACCACGUGGGAUUCCCACAGAUGUGUUUAUGAGAGGCUUCCCCAUGUGGUCUAUCUUCGAAGCGUUUUCUUUCAGGAUUUUUUUUGGGGAAAUCAAGAGCAGGGAGCCACCUGGGGUCAGCCCCCCGGCUGUAUUUGCUUAUAGGUUUCAACCCAAUGGGAAGAUUCCUUGGUGAUAGGCCUGGUAAUCCCCAGGGGUGCUAGGCUCAGCCUCCCUGCGUCACACUGGCCAUCUGUGUGUCCCAGACAGCUGCUGAAGGACCCCCAGGUGCUGUUUGCGGGCUACAAAGUCCCCCACCCCUUGGAGCACAAGAUCAUCAUUCGGGUGCAGACCACACCGGACUACAGCCCCCAGGAGGCCUUCACCAAUGCCAUCACAGACCUCAUCAGCGAGCUUUCGCUGCUGGAAGAGCGAUUCCGGGUGAGGAGCCAGCUGUGCGGGGGGCGGGGAUGUUCUCGUGCCCACAUCCGGGGCAACCAUUGGGGGCAGGUGGUGACAGAGCAGGGAUGUGACUAUAGUCUCGAGCAAGUGCGGACUAAGGGGUUAUGGAGCCUGCUGUCUGCACGCAUGGGUGGGACCUUACUGAGGGCUCCAGGCUUUCCUUGGGUGCUCUUAUGGCCCCUUGGGGCUCCUCCCCCAAGUCUUCUCUGUGGUGCCGGCUACUCUGGUUUGUAAGGCCUGUCUGCUUCCAGGGCAUUUCUGGAGGGGGCAGCUCAUCCUGGGGUGGGGGUCCCAUAGUUAGGGGGGGAUGGCCACACCUAUCCCUGCAGGGGGGCUCAAAGUCUAGACCCAAGAUAGAGCGGGAAAGAUCCACGGCUUGUCAGAUUUUAACAUCUGUGUCAUCUGCACCUUGCACAGAUGGGGUGGGGCCGCUGCUGACUGCCCGGCUCCCGGGAGAGGGGCCAGGGUGGCGGUUCCCUGGCAGACCUCUGUCGGGGACCCUGGGGUUGUGUUCCCGGCACCCAGCCCUGGGCCUCUCUGGCUAAGUGCUCUGCUGCCCCUCUCUGCUCAGGUGGCCAUCAAAGACAAGCAAGAAGGCAUCGAAUAGAAAGCUGGAGGGGUCUUGCUUGGCACCUGCACUGGAACCUUCUCCAGGCCUCAAGUAGAGAGCUGCUUCCCCAGCUUCGGGGACAUCCUGGUGAGCCCCUCCCUCCAGAGCCAAUGUGUAUGUACAUAGAGUCUGUUUUACCUUCCAAAUAAAAGUGUGGCAGGAAGAGACCUGGAUGUGGGCUAAAGCAAGGUGACCACACAGCACGUGGAUUGCGAGGCUCCAUGGAGGUAGAUGACCUCUUGCACGGUUACUCUGGGGCUGUAUUUCAGAGUGGAAGACUCAAGUUUUGUCUGAGAAGGUGGCGCGAUCCCUCAUUCUAGACCAACAACUGCAAAGCUGGGGGGCGGCCAGGGAGGCAGUGCUUCCAGGAGUCCCUCAGCUGCCAGGUCCGCCUGCCCGUGUCAGACUAGGAACGCCAGACGGGGCCACAAACCGCUCUCCAGUCUUCUCUUAAACAGUAGAGACUUUAAUAAAAACAUUCGCCGAUAAAAAGCUCCCUGUCGUUAGCCCCAAAGCUGAAUAAGUUAAGUUGUGUCCCUGGUGCUCCGCGACAGGCAGGAGGCCCUGCUCUGGCUACGGUCUCUUCCAGAUGGCCACGAUGUUGGAGUCUGUCAGAGCGGUGAGGUAGGUAAAGGUGGGGUUGGCCACCACUGUGUUCACCAUGG